This 320-nucleotide ribosomal RNA is filed under the name uncultured eukaryote. Its description in RNAcentral is "partial 18S ribosomal RNA". It matches the Rfam family "Eukaryotic small subunit ribosomal RNA", at positions 1470 to 1796 of the family's 1831-position model. The record is from RNAcentral.
CCCUUAGAUGUUCUGGGCUGCACGCGCGCUACAAUGGCGUUUUCAAAAAGAUUGCUAAUCCGAAAGGACCAGCGGAUCUUCGAAGUGGCGUCGUGAUCGGGACAGUUGAUUGCAAUUAUUCGACUCGAACGAGGAAUUCCUUGUAAUCGUGCGUCAUCAGCGCACGCUGAAUACGUCCCUGUUCUUUGUACACACCGCCCGUCGCUCCUACCGAUUGAAUGCUCAGGUGAGCCAUUCGGACUUUCAUCAUGCUGGUUUCCAGUUUUGAUGAAGGAAAGUCUUGCGAACCUUAUCAUUUAGAGGAAGGAGAAGUCGUAACA